AUACAACAAUAUGAAGACGAGAAGAUACGAGCUGCUAGAGACGAAGAGACAAAGCAUAACGAUGGUUUUCUCAGAGACACCGCUGCAAACGUUCAUGCCACGGAAUGGGAUACCUGUCAUUUGCCUACACGUCAUACAUUGGUUAUGUUUCACUGUGAAUUUUGAGUAAACUUUUGUACUUUUUGCUAAGAUUUCUCCACUUUUGUGUAACAUUAAUUUGAUUUGUAAAAGUUACCAAGGUUUACUGAUUUAAAUUAAAUUCUAACAGUUUGAAAAGCUGUUUAAGCAAAAUCCAGUAGUAAAAUAAGUUUUACAUUAGGAGGGGAAAAUGGCGGUAAGAAGUGUUUAGCGUGAGCUCCCGUUUUUUGUUUACUAUAUAGUGGUGUUUUUACAAUUUAUCUCUGCUAAAUUCGACACCUGUUAUUUUGUUAGUCUAUCUUUACAGUGUAGCCUCCUUUUUCGUGUAUGAUGGCGUCCAGUUUGAGAAAAUAUAAAUAUAUGGGAUCUGCAGCCGGUAGGCCUGAUGCUACCUGCGAUCAGAGUUAUGCUAAAGACUCUGCACCACCAUUAUCAAAGUCGACCGAGAUGGAUUUCUCGAUGCUGAAAACAGACAUUCUAGAGUCAAUAAAAUCCAGUAUUUCAGAGGUAAUAAAAGCCGAAAUGAAGGAUUUGCUGGCGGAAGACCUUGGAUUUAUUAGAGGCGAGCUACAGGUGGUGCGGGCAGAAGUGGCAAGUGGCGCCACAGCCCUUCGGGCUGAUUUAGACCAGGUAAAAGUUCGAUUCAAAGACGUGGAGGACGGCUUGUCAACCUGGUCAGAGGAGGUGGUUUCUCUGCGCAGUGCUGUGACUGAGAUGAAAGCCGAGUUAAAUGAUCUU
Molecule: long non-coding RNA, 876 nt
Organism: Thalassophryne amazonica
Lineage: Eukaryota; Metazoa; Chordata; Actinopteri; Batrachoidiformes; Batrachoididae
Exons: 2
Source: RefSeq, a predicted model, not a curated record